Molecule: transfer RNA, 510 nt
Filed under: uncultured Bartonella sp.
Lineage: Bacteria; Pseudomonadati; Pseudomonadota; Alphaproteobacteria; Hyphomicrobiales; Bartonellaceae
Description: partial 16S-23S ribosomal RNA intergenic spacer
Rfam family: tRNA (bases 66-139)
Source: RNAcentral
AAGCUCUUUAUGCUUUUCCAGUGAUUUAAGAUGAUACCGGGGAAGGUUUUCCGGUUUAUCCCGGAGGGCUUGUAGCUCAGUUGGUUAGAGCGCGCGCUUGAUAAGCGUGAGGUCGGAGGUUCAAGUCCUCCCAGGCCCACCAAUUUAUGCUCGUUUUUUGCUUAUCCAAGAGUAUGAAGCUUAAGCGUAUUAAAGCCUCUUUUAAUCUUUGUUUAUUUUAAAGAUUUAAUUUUAUCAUUCAAAGAUUGUUUGUUAAAUUUAUUCUAUUAAGUUUGUCAAAGGGGGAGUUUGUCAAAGGAGGUUUUUAAAUCCCUUCAUUUUGAAAUUCCUUCAAGGUAUAGAGAAAUUUAAAUGAUGUAUAGAGAAAUUUAAAUGAUGCAAAUCAAAAUAGUACAAAUCAAAGUCGUAUAAAUGAUUCAAGUUGAUAAAUUUUCUUGAGGUUGAUUUGAGAGAGCAUUCUUUAGGGGCCGUAGCUCAGCUGGGAGAGCACCUGCUUUGCAAGCAGGGGGU